GAGGAGGAGGAAGCAUGUGCGCCUUUACGAUUUGUUGGUGUGUUGAGAGUGAAGUGCUUGGAGUUGGAUUUUGUACAAAGUGUCAGCCAAUAGGAGCUCAGCUCUCUCCCACGGCUGGCGAAGACUGUCACGCAGCUACUUUGGACCCAUGGUCCGUCCAGUGGCCCGGAUGACAAGUGCACAUUCAAAGUGGAAAUCACAUCAGCACAACACUUAAAAAAAAUCAUUCCCUAAAAAAAAAAAAAUAUCCUGAGAUGCAUUAGCACUAUUUUACUAUUGUAAUACAAAUUAAUCCAAAUUCACUCUAUUUGCAGAGAAAGAGUAAAAAAAAAGAAAAAAAAAAGAACGCCUGCUUCCUCUCUUGUAGCCAAAAAGAGGAUUUAGAGAUUUAGUCAUAAAAAAGUGACCUCAUCGCAUUCGCCACACGCACACGCACACGCACGCGUGCAGCAGGAGGGCGAAGACGUUCACGAGUGAGGAGAAGGAGCUGCAAGAUUCCAACGCAGAGGAAAAUAUUUUGUUUUGGAUCUUCCCAAGUCGGAUUUCUUUCUGCACACCAGCUUUCACCUGAGCAGAGGGUUCUUCUUCUUUUUCUUCUUCUUUUUGGAACGAACUGCAGCACACACUCAGGAGUCUGCCGAAAAACAAAGGGAUGCAAUUAAACACAGCUGAUCAACAAGGAGGCAAAGUGGGGACGCAGGACGACAAAGUGGAGGUCAAGUAAAAGGGAGGUUGCCACACACACAAACGUUGUCUCCGUUAUGAACUGAGGUAUAUAUAAGGGAGCGGGGAAAAUAAAUGUUUACCAAUGAAGACGUCUGUGUGCCUCCUGCGUGCAUGUGGAGGUGCGUACACGGCGUGCUAAAAGCUGCCCUGCAGACCAGACCUGUGGAAUCUUCAAAGUGGAGGAUUUGUUCAGGCUUAUUUGGCAACCUGGGAUUUGAAUUGAAUUUUGGGAGGCAUUCAUAACACAUUAGAAAACCUUACAAUGUGUGAUUUCAUGUAUAAUCCCCUUAUAGUCAUUUUUUAUAAGGGGGAGUAGUAUGGUCACAACAUAGCGUGGCUAGUCAUGAUUCAUCAAAUGUUUUUUUUUUUUUGCCUGGGAGGUGAGUGUCUUCUCCUGAAGAGGUGAGUCUUCACUUGAACCUUCCUCUCCUCACCAUUUUGUUGGUUUGACCUGAAUAUGUGAUAGGGUCAGCUCCACCGUGAGACCCCCUGCUUACAACCCCCAGUGGAUUAGACCUUUCUACAUGUGCGGACGCCCACUUUGCUUUGAAUGACACUUUGGCGAUGCACCCAACAUCCCACUUGGACUUCUCAAGUGUAGCAACACUGCCAAAUCCUCUCAACUCUUUAGUAUCUCCCUUUGGCUGCAUUGCCAGGCAAGGCCCCUCUGUGACAGUUGGACAUCGUCGUCGCUUUCGGGAGGAGACAGCGGCGGCCGUUUGUAGCGUUUCCCAGCCUCGGGCCUGUGGGGAAUCUGUAAUGGCUCGCCUGUCAGCCGGCCCCUCCCCUGCAAUUAGGAGAGUAAACACAGCGCCUGACUCGACAUGGGAGGGAGGGACAGAGAAGGAGGGGCAGGGACACCAUCCUGCUCCUGUCCUACUGCUGUCUCCAGACAAAGAUGACUGCACAAACUCAGACACUGCAAAUCUCAAUAAAAAGUGUCUGUGGAUACAACACAGCAUAUCAUAGCAGGCUGCACGGCGGUUUGCAUGUCGGCCUCACAGUCAGGACUAUUGAGGCUUGGAACAUCUCUGUGUGGACUUUGCUUGUCCUCACACAUCUAAAAACAAGCAUAUUUGGUUAAUUACAGGCAUUCAGAAAGCAUUCACAGUGCUUCACUUUUUCCAAAUUUUGUUAUGUUGUAUAGCCUUAAUCCAAAAUGCAAUAAAUUCAUUGAUGUCCUCAAAAUUCUGCAGGCAAUACCCCAAAAUGAGAAUGUGAUUUUUUUUUGAACAUUUAUGCAAAUGUCUUAAAAAAUAAAAACAUAAAAAAAAAUGUACACAAGUA
Nerophis ophidion (straightnose pipefish) is the source of this 2013-nucleotide long non-coding RNA. RefSeq lists it as uncharacterized. The record is from RefSeq and is a predicted model, not a curated record. The transcript is spliced from 4 exons. NCBI's taxonomy places the organism in Eukaryota, Metazoa, Chordata, Actinopteri, Syngnathiformes, Syngnathidae.